CCCCCACCCCACCACACCUUUCCUCUACGGAGCUGUUCCCUCAAAAUGGAAAUUCACCGGAGAGAGAAGAAAGAGCAGUGCAAACUGGCUGCGUUGUGAAUCCCAGCGGCUGCCGUGGCUCGCAUCUCCCGUGAGCCUACUCUGUGCCAGCAGCCUGCCAGGCGCUACAGACCAUGCACGGCCCUUCCCAGAAGAGAGUGGUGAGGCUGACCUUGGCACACGGCUAGGCGUCCCUUCUUAAGGAAAUUCUUGGAGAGGGAGGAAAAAUACUAGCGGACCCACCGUCAGGCUGCCUCUAAAGGACAGAGCUACAGGACAGCUACCGUGGGGUCUAGUUUUCCUGGUGUCCGUGUAGCUACAGUCGCUCUCCUGGUGUUAGUCCUGGGGUCCAGCCUCUGGACGCAUGGCCACACAAUAGGCACUGUCCAACCGCGGGCCUGGAAGCAGCUCUUCGAGGAACUCGGGAUCUAGCGCUCUCAGCUCACUGCACCAAGGUGGAGGCGGUUUUAUUCUCCUCGGACAAAGUCUCUCUAGAGGCGGGCUCUGGCUUCCCAGCGCAGCGCACAGACCCAGGAGAUGUACACGCCAACAACGCAUGUCCCCACUGUUCUGGAGGCUGAAAGUCCCAGAUCAAGGUGUCAGCAGGUUUGGUUCCUUUGAGGCCUCUCUCCUUGGCCCACAGAUGGCUGCCUUCUCCUUGGGUUCUCUCAAGGUCCACCCCCUUAGGCUGUUGUCGCAUUAAACACCUCGCCUGCCGGUGUGGCCCAUAUCUAAGCGCCCUCAUUCACAAAUAUUAGUGUGAAGCUCCUUCUCAGCCACUUCAGAUGGGAUCCAUAAACUCAUUUCCAGUGAUCCAGCACCGGUAAAACCAAAUGUGGGAGUUGGGGAGGGGGAGCCAAACCCUUCUCUGACAUCAGGAUAACUCCUCUGGUGCAAAGAGAGUGAGCUACAAGUAUAGACAGGAGACUUAAAGUCCCUGGUAUCAUUGUCAGGGGAAGUGAAGGGGAAAAAAUGAAAGCAAAAGCCGAGGUGCUGGAGCUGGCUGGGCCCCAAAAACCUCACCUUGGACUACACCAGCUCACUGCACAUUUUUCCUUCAUUGUCCAAGUCUCCCUGAUAAGCAUUAAUGAGAGCUAGAGGUGGAUUUUCUUCAGGAAGCAUUUCACCAAAAUAAAACUACUUUUUGCUUCUUGCUGAACUUCUGG
This 1205-nucleotide long non-coding RNA is filed under the name Vulpes vulpes (red fox). RNAcentral describes it as "lncRNA (ENSVVUG00000003627.1)". Lineage: Eukaryota; Metazoa; Chordata; Mammalia; Carnivora; Canidae. The record is from RNAcentral.